This is an RNA transcript of Phoenix dactylifera (date palm), 1641 nucleotides long. It is a transcript of the gene named mitogen-activated protein kinase kinase 4 pseudogene, with no coding region annotated. The record is from RefSeq and is a predicted model, not a curated record. NCBI's taxonomy places the organism in Eukaryota, Viridiplantae, Streptophyta, Magnoliopsida, Arecales, Arecaceae.
AAUUAUUUAUAGCAUAUUUGUAAUGCAUGGAACUAGAAACAUCUGGCCUUUCAUCUUUCUCCUUGUGUAAAUUAUUAGUGUCUCGCCAUCUCUCUUACUCAGAAAACCAGCCGCCUCUUUUCUUCCCCAUUUUCCCCCCACAUAUCUAUAUUUAAAUCCUAACCCAAUAAUUUGUUAUAUUAUAUAGGUGUAAAAUAUCCAAGGAAAACUCGUCUUGUCUCUCUGUCGGUCCUCCCUCUCCUCCUUCCAAGAACCCUCCACCAUCCCCAUCAAUCUCCACCCCCCUACGACCCAAUCGCCCUUCAGUCCGUUCUAUAUAUAUGACUUCUUCCCCGCCUUUUGCUUCGUCGCCAUGACGCAAUGAGACCCGGCCCACUCCCCAAUGCGCGGCCGGGGCAGCCCGGCCAACCCGCCCGCCCCCGCCGCCGGCCAGGCCUCACCCUUCCCCUCCCCCAGCGCGAUCCCCCGUCCUUCGCCGUCCCUCUCCCCCUCCCUCCCCCCUCCACCCCCGCCUCCUUCUCCGCCGCCGCCCCCGGCGGUGCCCAGCCCCCGACCGCCGCCACCCCGCAGACCCCGGCGCUCGCCGACCUCGAUCGCCUCCGCCGCAUCGGCAGCGGCAACGGCGGCUCCGUCUGGAUGGUGCGCCACCGGCCCACCGGCCGGAUCUAUGCCCUCAAGGUGAUCUAUGGCAACCACGAGGACGCCGCCCGCCGCCAGAUCUGUCGCGAGAUCGAGAUCCUCCGCACCGCCGACCAUCCCCAUGUGGUCCGGUGCCACGGCUUCUAUGACCGGGCGGGAGACAUCCAUAUCCUUCUCGAGUACAUGGACGGCGGCUCCCUCGACGGCCGCCGCGUCGCCUCCGAGCCCGUCCUCGCCGACAUCGCCCGCCAGGUCCUCGCCGGCCUCGCCUACCUUCACAGCCGCCGGAUCGUCCACCGCGACAUCAAGCCCUCCAACCUCCUCAUCAACUCCGCCCGCCAGGUCAAGAUCGCCGACUUCGGGGUCAGCCGAAUCUUGGCCCGGACCAUGGGCACCUGUAAUUCCUCGGUGGGGACGAUCGCCUACAUGAGCCCCGAGCGGAUUAACACCGACCUUAACGAGGGGGUCUACCACGGCUACUUCGGCGAUAUUUGGAGCUUCGGCCUCAGUAUGCUCGAGUUCUAUCUGGGGCGGUUCCCCUUCGCGGAGCAACUGGGGCGGCAGGUCGGGGACUGGGCCAGCCUCAUGUGCGCCAUCUGCUACUCCAACCCACCGGAGGCGCCGCCCACCGCCUCGCCGGAGUUCCGAAACUUCAUCGCCUGCUGCCUCCAGAAGGAGCCCCACCGCCGGCCCACCGCCGCCCAGCUCCUCCGCCACCCCUUCAUCACCCAGGCCCAGGUCACCGCCCCGGUGGCACGGUCUCCGCCGCAUAAUUUCGUACCGCUGACGUAGAAUUUGCUCUCUUUUUUUUCUUUUCUGCCUGAAAGAUCCUUUAUUUCUUUCUACUCCAAAUUGGGUUGUCGUGCCCACAAAAAGAAAGAUGAAAUAUGGUUUGUGAUCGAAAUGGGAACUUCUUUUCUGGACGACCAGGAUGGAAUAGAGCUUUGAUAUAAGAGGAAAGGAUGAUAGUAGAAAUAUAGGUACGAUGAAGUGGCUCAUGCC